This 426-nucleotide ribosomal RNA is filed under the name Paenibacillus sp. ICGEB2008. RNAcentral's name for it is "bacterial SSU rRNA". It matches the Rfam family "Bacterial small subunit ribosomal RNA", at positions 1 to 410 of the family's 1533-position model. Lineage: Bacteria; Bacillati; Bacillota; Bacilli; Caryophanales; Paenibacillaceae. The record is from RNAcentral.
UCUUUAAUGGAGAGUUUGAUCCUGGCUCAGGACGAACGCUGGCGGCGUGCCUAAUACAUGCAAGUCGAGCGGGGUUAGUUAGAAGCUUGCUUCUAACUAACCUAGCGGCGGACGGGUGAGUAACACGUAGGCAACCUGCCCACAAGACAGGGAUAACUACCGGAAACGGUAGCUAAUACCCGAUACAUCCUUUUCCUGCAUGGGAGAAGGAGGAAAGGCGGAGCAAUCUGUCACUUGUGGAUGGGCCUGCGGCGCAUUAGCUAGUUGGUGGGGUAAAGGCCUACCAAGGCGACGAUGCGUAGCCGACCUGAGAGGGUGAUCGGCCACACUGGGACUGAGACACGGCCCAGACUCCUACGGGAGGCAGCAGUAGGGAAUCUUCCGCAAUGGGCGAAAGCCUGACGGAGCAACGCCGCGUGAGUGAUG